Molecule: ribosomal RNA, 827 nt
Filed under: uncultured archaeon
Lineage: Archaea
Description: bacterial SSU rRNA
Rfam family: Bacterial small subunit ribosomal RNA
Source: RNAcentral
ACUGCUCAGUAACACGUAAGAACCUACCCUUUAGUGGGGAAUAGCCCGUCGAAAGACGGGAUAAUACCGCAUAGUUCCUAUACCGCAAGGUAUAGGGUAAAGGACUUAACUGUCCGCUAAAGGAGGGGCUUGCGACCCAUCAGGUAGUUGGUAGGGUAAAAGCCUACCAAGCCAACGACGGGUAGGGGGCGUGAGAGCGUGACCCCCCAGAAUGGGACUGAGACACGGCCCAUACACCUACGGGUGGCAGCAACUGGGAAUCGUACGCAAUGGACGAAAGUCUGACGUCGCGACGCCGCGUGAGGGAUGAAGGCCCUAGGGUUGUAAACCUCUUUUGCCAUAGUCGAGAGGCUAUGGAGAAUAAGCACCCGCUAACCUCGUGCCAGCAGCUGCGGUAAUACGAGGGGUGCAAGCGUUAUCCGGAUUUAUUGGGCGUAAAGCGUUUCGUAGGCGUUUCGGUAAGUUACUUUUCAAAGACCAGGGCUCAACCUUGGAAAGGGGAGUAAUACUGCCGGGAUUUGAAGUAUGUCGGGGUUACUGGAACUUACGGUGUAGGAGUGAAAUCCGUUGAUAUCGUAAGGAACACCAAGGGCGUAGGCGGGUAACUAGACAUAUCUUGACGCUGAGGAACGACAGCUAGGGGAGCGAAAGGGAUUAGAGACCCCUGUAGUCCUAGCCGUAAACUAUGCUCGCUAGGGAUUGGUCCCGCCGAGGACAGAAUUAUUUCUGCCUUGGGCGGGAUCAGUUCCGUAAGCCAACGCGUUAAGCGAGCCGCCUGGGGAGUACGAACGCAAGUUUAAAACUCAAAGGAAUUGGCGGGGGAGCAC